This 253-nucleotide ribosomal RNA is filed under the name uncultured bacterium. RNAcentral's name for it is "partial 16S ribosomal RNA". It matches the Rfam family "Bacterial small subunit ribosomal RNA", at positions 524 to 776 of the family's 1533-position model. The record is from RNAcentral.
UACGUAGGGGGCAAGCGUUGUCCGGAAUCAUUGGGCGUAAAGCGCGUGUAGGCGGUCCGAUAAGUCCGCUCUGAAAGCCCGGGGCUCAACCCCGGGAGGCGGGCGGAUACUGUCGGGCUAGAGUCCGGAAGAGGCAAGUGGAAUUCCUGGUGUAGCGGUGAAAUGCGCAGAUAUCAGGAGGAACACCGAUGGCGAAGGCAGCUUGCUGGGACGGUACUGACGCUGAGACGCGAAAGCGUGGGGAGCAAACAGG